Molecule: long non-coding RNA, 9870 nt
Filed under: Elaeis guineensis (African oil palm)
Lineage: Eukaryota; Viridiplantae; Streptophyta; Magnoliopsida; Arecales; Arecaceae
Description: long non-coding RNA (EGUI_LNC031781)
Source: RNAcentral
AAGGAUAGGUCCCGAUGGCCACAGCAGCAACUCUUACUUCAUUGCCGAUUCGGAGAGUGAUCUCACCUUCCCUCAGCCCCCUAACUUCUUCAAGACCCUGCGUAGAAGUGCACAAGCAAGCACUUGAAUCAGAAUCUAGAAUCCAACUAGAAGAAGAGAAUCAUUAGAUUAGAUUCUAUUAUGAGCAAAUCAAACAUACCUUCAGAAGGCCCAUCCUUCUUCUAAUUUUUCACAGUCGUUAAGUAGGCUGGACAGUUUCUUCUCUAAUGGCCUUCGAAAUUGCAAUGGAAACACUUUUCUUUAUCAUCGACCUUCUUCGGAAUCUACUUUUUGAGCUUGACCUCAUUCUUUCGCUUCUUUGCAUGCUUCUUCUUUUUCUUAAAAGAAGACUUUCUCUUAGAGGAAGCCUACUCCACAAGCAGAACCAUAUCUCUUGAAUCUUUCAAGAUGCCCUCAGCUGUCACCAACAUGUUCAGUAAUUCGGGCAAAGUGCUAUCAAUUUUAUUCAUAUGGUAGUUCAUAAUGAACUGUCCAUAUGAAUCAAAAAGAGACUGGAGGAUCCAAUCCAUCUGUAAUUUCUUAUCCAUGUUCAUCUCGAGCUUCUAAAGCUCUUCGAUGUCCUUAAUCAUUAUCAAACAAUGAUCAUUGAUAGACUGUCCAUCAUGCAUUUUCAUUCUGAAUAGUCUCUGGGAUGGUUCAAAAUGAGCUAUGCGACUCUGCUCACCAUACAACUCUUACAAAUGAGUCAGUAUCUCCUUGGCAGUCCUCACGUCUUCACGCUAGCACUAAAGAUCAUUGGACAUGGAUGCUAAAAUGUAGCACUUCGCCUUAUUGUCCUCAUCCAUUCACUUCUCAAGUGUGGCUAGUUGAUCAGGGGAUGGAUGAGUUGGUAACACAGGCGCAUCCUGAUCUAGGAUAUGAGUCAGUUUUUUGCAACUGAGAAUGAUUCUUAAAUUCCUAAGCCAAUCUUUGUAGUUUGUCCCAGUCAACCUAUUUGUGUCAAGGAUAUGGGCUAAAGGAUUGACACUCGACAUGAUUAUCUAUAGAGAGAAUAAUUUCUAAUUAGAUGUUUGCAUUUAUUAAAUAUUUGUUUUAGGAACUUUUAAAAUCAAACAAGACUUCCACUAUUUUUUCAAAGCUCCUACACUCCUCGGAUGGAGAAACGAAAAUAUAUAUGUGAUUGAUUUCUAGUGGGUACUACGAUCCCACUGAUCUAUAUACAUCUCACCUGACAGUUAUUGAAGAGCACAGACCAAUGAGUGGACAACACCUUAUCCAUUGCUUCACUAAGCAAGAUCAGCAGGUUUGAUCUCAAAAUCCUGUGGCCUCACCUAACAGUUAUUGGCAUAUUUCUUAAUUAAGUCAGAUCCACCAUUCACCAAUAGAUGCAAAGCCAUCAUUAGGUCCCUCAUCUAACAGAUAUUGAGCCCAACCUUAUCUCUACCCUGAGGCAUCUAAUGCCAAUAGAAUAGUUGUACCUUUUCAAUACAAUCGAACCACUGUAAUCAAUCAAGAAUGAUCAACAUCAGGAAAGCACCCACAUCUCUAUAAUGGUGAAAGACUGUUAGACUUAAUAUUUAGUGAGAAGAUUUAGAUUUAGAUCUCUUCUAAGUCAUCAGAUUUGAUAUCUGACUGACCAAGCUCAAGUCAGCACAUUCAUAUAUCUGACCUACCUAGUCGGCAUGGGUGAACUCGAAUAAACAAGUAACCUAAUUCAAAACAUAAUCUCCUAAAAUGGUCAGAUAAAUUAAGACGAGUGAGAGUCCCCUCGUUGCUUUCAUUAGAUACCAAUGAAUUGAUCAGGUCAGACAAUGAAAUCAAUUAAAUAACCACCAUCUAGAUAUUUGCCUUAAACACUAAAUUGAUCGAUUAGAAUCGAUCAGGUUAACCUAUUGACCUAGGCCCNNNNNNNNNNNNNNNNNNNNNNNNNNNNNNNNNNNNNNNNNNNNNNNNNNNNNNNNNNNNNNNNNNNNNNNNNNNNNNNNNNNNNNNNNNNNNNNNNNNNNNNNNNNNNNNNNNNNNNNNNNNNNNNNNNNNNNNNNNNNNNNNNNNNNNNNNNNNNNNNNNNNNNNNNNNNNNNNNNNNNNNNNNNNNNNNNNNNNNNNNNNNNNNNNNNNNNNNNNNNNNNNNNNNNNNNNNNNNNNNNNNNNNNNNNNNNNNNNNNNNNNNNNNNNNNNNNNNNNNNNNNNNNNNNNNNNNNNNNNNNNNNNNNNNNNNNNNNNNNNNNNNNNNNNNNNNNNNNNNNNNNNNNNNNNNNNNNNNNNNNNNNNNNNNNNNNNNNNNNNNNNNNNNNNNNNNNNNUAACUACAAUUAAACUUGAUUCGAGCCUAUUUAACCUAAUCCUAACCAACAAUUGAUUAGGUUCAAUUGACUGCUCAAAAUCGACAAUGGGUUCUAGCCUGAUCUAAUCAAUUGAUCCUAAUUGUAGUUUGAUCACUAGACCUAAUUUAUUUAAUUUAUACCCACAUGCAAUAACAUAAUUUUCAGACUCUAAAAAAAAUUUUAGAUUAUGUUUCAUUACAUGCAUUAGUGGCUUAUGAUCUUAAAACAGUUUCAGAUCUAAAUCUAAUGUUAUAUAUCACAUAUAUGAAGUUUUAGAUCUAAACUUCAAACAUGUAGACCCAGAUCUAAAACAAUGAUUAAAACAUCUUGAAAAUACUUUUCAAAAAUCGGUUCGCAUCAAACUAGGACAACCUUAUACCAGUUCGAUGUGAAUUUUUAAUCAUUCUAAUUUUAGAUCUAACAUGAAUAAAGAUAUAUCAUAUAUAUUUAUUUUCAGAUCUAAAAGAUUGAUCUAAAUAUUUCAAAAAUAGUUUUUAAAAUCGAUCAAUCUUAUGCUAGGACAAUCUUUUCAAUAUAGAGAUUUAACCCUAUAUCAGGACAACCUUAUACCAGCACAAGAUCAAUUUUAAACCAUUCAAACUUUCAAAUCUAAAUCAAAAAUUAGAUUAUAAAUAUCUUAAAAACCAGUGGCUCUGAUACCACUAUUAGAAAAUCAGAUAGGGUUGCAUGCAUAGAUUUCAAAAACUUUUGAAGUAGUAGUGAAAACGAUCUAGGUAAACCCUUUAACCCCACAUACAAUAGAUAUAAUCUAUAUCUACCCAAGCCCUGGAUUAAACACAUACAUAUAAUCUAAAAAUUAAAAUAAAAAUUGAGAUCGGAUCUCAAUACUUUGUGCAGAUUGAAAUACACUGCAAUCGAUGAUCUUAGAUCUGAAGAUUUCUGAGCCACACACGUAUCCGAUCUCUACAGAUAUCCAUCGAGAUCAAUCUUAAAUCUUUCUUCUCGUUAUAGAUCCAUCUUCUCCAAGAUGAAUCUCAGCCUUUUGAAUCUUUGAUCAACUCUUGAUCUUUGACCGUAAUCUCAACAUUUGAACUGCAGUCUUUCUCCCUGUUCCUUGCUAUAGAAGAAAUCAUCCUCAACUUAGGCAUGUGGGAAGAUGGGAUGCCCAACCCUUGGGUGUUGGAAAGAGAGGAGGAAGAGAAGAUGGCGUGGAGAUGGAGAGAGGAGGUGAUCUGAUUUCUCACUUUAAUUAAUUUUAAAACCUUAGGAGACCAUCUUUUAUAUAGACCUUUUUUUGAUUCCAAAUCAGUCUCCAAUCAAUCUAAAAAGGCUAGUCCUUAUCUCAUAAGGAUUUUUAUCUUUUUAAUCUUUUUUUUUCAAAAAAAUUAGAUCCAAUUGAAAAGAUCUUCGCCUUUUUUGGUAAGUAAAUGGGGCACCCCAUAUCAAAAUAGACAAGUUGAGUGGGUGCCCUCAUCAAAACUUGACAAGUAGUUGGGGCGCCAACUCUUGGUGCCCCUUUAAGGGCUUUGCACACAAGAGAGGGGGCGUAGCCCCUCUCUCUCUCCCCCUCCACACUAAGGCAAAAGAAGGGGUGGGCCCCUCUCUCUUUCUCACGCCCACUCCAAGGGGUUUGCAUCUCUUGGACUUUUCAAAAAGAGAGGCUUGCGCCUCCUCUCUUCUUUCCAAUAAUUUCACACCACAUAAGGAAAUAACAAGAGAGAAAAUAAGGAGACUAAUUUGCCAACUAAUUGAUUUGAUCCAAUCCUUUUGGGCCCUCAAAUAGGUGUCCAACUAAAUCCAAAUCAAAAUGGAUCUAGUUAAGGUUCAAGGCUAUAGACUUGAUCCAAUCCUUAUCUAAUAAGGAAUUCAAGUCCAGAAAAGAAUUGGGUUUAAUCAUGUGCUAGCAUGGUUCUCUUAAACCCCAUAGAAUUUCAAUAAAUCCUAAUCUAAUUAGAACUUUAUAAGUCUAAUUGGAUAAUUCAAGAUUAAAUCUCUUAAUAUGUAACCCCAUAAGUUCCAUUCUAUCUGGUAGUGAGAUAUAUUGUGAUCUCCACCACAAUAUCAUCGAAACUCUUUUUGAUGGAUUGAAACAAUUCUAACUCUAUCCUUCGAGGGUCAUCGAUCAUCAAAAUGAUGCCCAAUGAGUCUCAUAAUCCAUCAGUGACACCUAAUAGUAUAUAGUGGUAACCCAAUAGAAUGAAAAUUUGAACCCUUAGGUAUAGUUAUCAUAUGAUUCAGUCCUUCUAUCAUGAGUCCCGACUUGACGAAAGUCAUGGAGAACUCAUCAUACUCCAUCGUCAGUCAUAUGCUAGAUUGGCUCAACCCGAGUUGUGAAUCUCGUGGAAACUCUUUUUCAGUAUUCACACUUGUUUUGACCAAAGACUUUCUGAACUCAGUCUCCCAAAUCGCAUAGGACUUCUCUUUUUCUACAUGAUCAAUAGAUUUCAUCUAGGUACAUCCUACUCCUAAUAGUGAAUCUGAACCUACUGAAGCCAACAUACACAGCAAGGAUCAAAUGACUAGAGACCAAAGAAAUGUACAGUCAAACUUACUAGCCUCACUGUGAAUAGCUGAUGACAUCAUAGGUCAAAGGAACACUCAUACUACCGCAGUAUCAAGACAACCACUGACGAGUGAGUAGAUAUCUAAAUAAUUUUUCAUGUUGGUCAUGCUCAAUGCAAGUUAUUCUCUAACAACCACUUGCACUCGUACUCCAGUAUCCCUACACUACAUACUCGAGACUUAUUUGUCCAGAUGAGAGGUGAUCCAUGCACCGAUCUUUAAAUGGAUUGAUCACUAUUCUCCAUGAUGAUCCUUUGAUCGAGAGUAUUUAGAAAUUAAAUACUAAUUAAUGUAUGUCUCAAAUUCUCAAUACUUUGAGAAUAUACAAAAAUCAUCUUUGUUAAUUUUUAAGAUAAAUCAUGGACACAUAAACAUGAUUGAAAAUAGAAAUACUCUUUAUUAAUAAUAAAAAUAUUAUAAGUAUAAAGUUAAGCCCUGAAAUUACAUAAUGUGUCAGCCAACAAUUGACUUCUAAGGCACUCAUCUAACAAAAAUAUCUUGGCGGUCCACGCCUCCCUUUGUGAACCGACGAUCCACGAUAGACUGUGUGAAGACACCAUCAUAGGCCGUGCUCUCGCCUACUGGGCCAGCCCACACAUGUGCCCACUGGGCCUGGCUGAUGCAUCUAUGGGCGUACUGCUUUGUGGGUCUGUCUGCCAUCUAUUGGCCCUACCAGCCCACCUCCUAAUUUUUUUUUCAUGCGUAAUUUCUCCAUCUGUACUUUAUUUGGACUGUUCUUAGGGUUGUUAGACUCUAUUCAUCAUCCUGGAUCUCAUUCUAAGCUAAUUAUAAGUCGAAUUCAAGAUUAUUUUUUCAAUAAUCUCUAUCUCAACUUGAUAUUCGGCCUUCACCUAACUUUGAGAGCUUCUGGAUCCCAUCCCGAUGCCCUGGGGCAAUCGUCUGCUACUCAUGGAUGGACAAAUAUGGGAGUUGAGCUAAACCACUCAAUCCCAUCUCCGUCAUAUCCUCUGAUCUGAGAUCUGCUCGAUAUAGCCUUCUGGCGACGUUGUGAAUCAUCCUCCCAAGUCUCUUAUCCUGUGUUUGAUACAUUUUCACCUAGAGCUCCACCUCGCACUGAGCUUCCGGUAGCAUCCUCCAUGUAGACGGCUCCUCCUUACACAAGAGAGCAUCGAUCAACCCUUCAUAGUAGAUCUCUAUCUUGAUUGCUCCUGUCCUCUCCAUCUUCAAUCUUGAUCACCACAGCCGCAACCUACACCUGGUACCAACCCGACCAUGAUAACAAUUGUUGUGAUAUCACCUUGCUCUGACAUCAAUUGUUGUGGCUCUGUGAUAUCACUUGUUAUGUAGGAUCCGGUACGACUUGUCACAAUAGGAAGAAAGAAAAAAUAAAAUAGGAAACAUAAUCAAGUACGUGGAUAAACCCAAGCACUGCCUUAAUGAGGCAUGCAAGCUUCACUACGAGAAAAAAAUAAUACAAGAUGAGAACAUCCACUCUCAACUCUCUGUAUACUAAUCUCUCUCAACUAGAAGCUACUGUCACAAAAGCUCUCCCAAAGUCUCCAAAGAGACCCUCUCACAAGCCUGCCAGUAUCAGGAUCCUCGACGCCCCUAGAUGCUUCUUAUGGAGCAAAUAGCUACUUCAUGCCUCUCCACAACUGCGCUGUCUGACGCUCUACUGAGCUCUGCCUGCUUCUCACACUCGGUGCUCUGUCGAACUCUCUCCCGAGGGCUGCUUGAGCUCUCAUUGGCUUCAUGACUCUCUGCUAACAGCCUCACGGUUCUGUUCGCCCAUAGGGCUCUUAAAGCCCAAAAAUCCAAACUGUAUCAUAAUCAGACUCCUGAUCAAACUCCUAUAGCUUCUCGACCAUCCGAUCACACCUCAAAAUGGAAACUGGCCAUUUGAUUGCACCCCAUCGUGACCCUGCACGUCCCUGAUCUCCUUUGAUCCAUCCGAUCACGAUCGCGAGCACCCACAGCCAUCCGAUCAUGCAUCGGUCCAUGAGAACCCCGCAUGAGCCAUGAGAAACCAUCUAAAAAUAUUGCCGAUCCACUAUGGACUAUGAGAAACCAGGUGAGAAAUGUCCUGGUGGUCCAUGCCUCCCUUUGUGAAUCAGCAGUCCACAAUGGACUGCAUGAAGACACCGUCACAGGCCGCACUCUUGUGUGCCUGCUGGGUCGGCCCACGCAUGCACCUGUGCUAGGCCACAUGCUCGCUGGACCUGGCCCAUGCAUCUAUGGGCCCGCACGCUCUGUGGGCCUGUCUGCCAUCUAUGGGCCUUAUCAGCCCACCUCCUCACUUUCUUUUGUGCGUAACUUCUCCAUCUGGACUCUAUUUGGGCUGUUCUUGGGCUCGUUGGACUCUAUUCGUCAUCUUGGAUCUUAUUUUGGGCUUACUGUGGAUCAAAUUUAAGAUAUUUUUCUCAACAGUUCAAUCAAUCCUUGUACAUCUAUGGGUAGGUUCUUAACCAAUUGCUCUCCAAAUAUAUUUUUAGUAAUAAUUGUACCCCAGACAUCUCUUCAGCAGGCGUGUGGCGCCUCUACUAAAAGUCUCAAUUAGGUUCAACUAUUAAUAUGACCAUACUCAGUGUGUCUAACUAAUGAAUGAGUUGAUCAGAGUGUGGCUCGGUCAAUCUAACCACCCACUAGAAAGUCACACCUGAGUCAUCAUAUAAUGAAUGAUAAUUCUAAUAGUUAGAUAAAUACCAGGCGUGUGGCAUCUUCAAUGCUUAACUAGACUAUUGGACCCAUUACCAUCCACUUUAAUGGGAGGCUAUAAACUUGUUAACCCUUUAACAUUAUCAUUUUAAGGACCUAAUAAUUUAGAAGAUUUAAUUAUUUAUUUUAAAGUCAAAAGAAGAAAUUGAUCAGUAAUUCAAAAAUCCUCCCACUAACUCACCAAGUCAUCUUAGAGGACUAAAAACAAACUGGUGUAGAGAUACCUGAAUCAAUCAUACUAAUUAACCUUAAUAGCAUAGGUUAGCUCGAAUCAUCAGGCAAUCUAACUUAGAACUUAAUUGACCAAGUUAGCUAAGUAAGUGAGAUCGAUGGGAGGAUCUGUCAAAGCUUACCUUAGACACCAUCGAAAUGACCAAGUAAACGGACUGUCAAUUAAAAACCAUCGAUCGUAUUGCCAAACUUAUCUUAGACAUUAAUUGGUCAAUAAAAAUUAAUCAGGUCAACCUUUUGAUCCAAGUCCGAAUCACUAAGCCACAAUUAAAAUUUAUUUGUUCAAAUCAAAAUGUGGACUUGAUCAAGCUACAACUAUUGAGUUUGAUCUAGAAAAAUUUUGAUUUAAUCUAAUUCAACUCUUGAUUAGAUUUAAUUAGUUUUUUAAUUUGAUCCACAUUAUAUUUGAUUCUAAUCCUAGGUCUAACCCAGUUAAAUAACCUGAUUUGAGCUAACCCAUUGCCCCAUGAUUUAUGGAAUGUCUCAAGAUCUUCAAUUCUCAAAUCUAGAUCUCUUAAUUUCAUAUCUUAAUUCUUAAUUAAGUAUAUGAAAUCAGUUAUUGAAAUAAUUUCAAUGUAAAACUGUUUUACAAAGUUUCAUACAAAAUUUGCAUCAUAUGUCAUAAAAUUUCAAAUUAUGAAACUUAAUUUUUAGAUUUAAAUAUUUUGCUUAAAUCAAAAAAUAUUAAUCAUAAAUCUUUUAGAUCUAAUCUAAACUUGUUUAUGAUUAGAACGAUUCUAAAAAAUUCUUUUCACUAUUCUUUUUCAAGAUAUCUGAUCACAGCGGCACUCCAACACACCAUAAGAGAACCCAUCGAUUGAACAAGAGAGAGACUUUAAUUCCUAUUUUCUCUUAUGACCGGAUGGCCACGAUGAUCAACUCAAUCUGAGUACUUGGUUACUAAGAAAAUUUAUGCACAAUAUAUCAUAUAUGUAAAAAAAAAAUUCUGAUUCAAAUCAUAUUCAUAACAUGACAGCAUACAAAAUUUUUAUCUAAUCUACUUAGAUCAUUUCAUAACAUCACAAUUAUUUCAGAUCUGAACCUAUAAUUUAUACACCAUAUAAAUCAUCUAAUUAAGAUCUGAAAUAUACAUGAAAUCUGUUCUAAAAUUAGAUCUAAAUAUGAAUUAAAAUUUGGUUUAAUAACAGGACUGUAGUAUCAUAAAAUUCUGUUCUAAACAGAACUAAAAACCUAUUCUGAAUAGGUCUGAAAAUCUUUUCAAAAAUAUAUCCGAAAAUACCCAAAAAAUCUAUUCAAAAUAGAUCUAACAAUCUAUUUCAAAAAUAGAUUCAAAAUGCAUAAAAAUCUGUUCUAAAUAGAUCCAAAAAUCUGUUCUAAAACAGAUUUACAAGUCCUUGAAAAACUCUGUUCAAAACAGAUUUUGUAAACCUAUUCAAAAUAAAUCCAAAACUUCACAGAAAAAUUAUAAAAUUAGAUUUGAUUCCUAUACAUUAAGAUCAGAUCAAAAUCAGAUCAAAAUUUUAAGAAAAACAUAUCAAAAUCAAAUCUGAUUUCAUAACAGAAAUCUGGUCAAAACCAGAUUUAAAAAAUCUGCGCACAUGAUUACUAUCAGAUUUUAAUUUGCAUUCAGAUCGGAACCUAGCUCUGAUAUUAGUUGAAGAAAAAAUUUUCGAUCUAAAUCUGAAUUUAGAUAAGAUGCUAGAAAAAAUAACAGAUUUUAGAUUUAAAAAAUUUGAGGACAAGAUAAUCAAUAUACCUUCUAUGCAGCGGAAGAAACUAGUUUCGGAUCUCUUUGAAUCUGCUUCGCAAGAGUUGCUGAUGUGACUCCUCUACUUCGCUCACACAUCUUGCUCCAUGGAAGAGAGGGGAUGAAGGCUUAGGCAGCACACCAAAGAAGAAGGAGAGAGGAGGGAUGGCAUUGAGAAAGGAGGAAGGAUGCCCAGAUCAAAUCCACCGCCCACCUUUUAUUUUUUUGUGAUUUUCUCUAUGUAUCUCGCCCCUUCUCAAUACCCCCUUUUAUGGUUUGUCACAUAAACCAGAUAUGGCAUACCAUCAAGAGAUAAGAGGCCUAAUUUGAAUCCAAUUCAAAUUGCCUCUUAUCCCUAAAGAGACCCAAGGAAGAAGGGAGGCGCCACCUCUCAUUGCGGUAUGCACAAG